Molecule: ribosomal RNA, 253 nt
Filed under: uncultured bacterium
Lineage: Bacteria
Description: partial 16S ribosomal RNA
Rfam family: Bacterial small subunit ribosomal RNA
Source: RNAcentral
UACAGAGGUCUCAACCGUUGUUCGGAUUCAUUGGGCGUAAAGGGUGCGUAGGCGGCGGGGCAAGUCAGGUGUGAAAUCUCGGGGCUCAACCCCGAAACUGCACUUGAUACUGCCUUGCUCGAGUACUGGAGAGGAGACUGGAAUUUACGGUGUAGCAGUGAAAUGCGUAGAUAUCGUAAGGAAGACCAGUGGCGAAGGCGAGUCUCUGGACAGUUCCUGACGCUGAGGCACGAAGGUCAGGGGAGCAAACGGG